CCUACGGGCGGCAGCAGUGGGGAAUAUUGGACAAUGGGCGAAAGCCUGAUCCAGCCAUGCCGCGUGUGUGAAGAAGGCCUUCGGGUUGUAAAGCACUUUCAGUGGGGAAGAAAGCCUUGGGGCUAAUACCCUCGAGGAAGGACAUCACCCACAGAAGAAGCACCGGCUAACUCCGUGCCAGCAGCCGCGGUAAUACGGAGGGUGCGAGCGUUAAUCGGAAUUACUGGGCGUAAAGCGCGCGUAGGCGGUCUGAUAAGCCGGUUGUGAAAGCCCCGGGCUCAACCUGGGAACGGCAUCCGGAACUGGCAGGCUAGAGUGCAGGAGAGGAAGGUAGAAUUCCCGGUGUAGCGGUGAAAUGCGUAGAGAUCGGGAGGAAUACCAGUGGCGAAGGCGGCCUUCUGGACUGACACUGACGCUGAGGUGCGAAAGCGUGGGUAGCAAACAGGAUUAGAUACCCCGGUAGUC
Molecule: ribosomal RNA, 465 nt
Filed under: Vreelandella stevensii
Lineage: Bacteria; Pseudomonadati; Pseudomonadota; Gammaproteobacteria; Oceanospirillales; Halomonadaceae
Description: partial 16S ribosomal RNA
Rfam family: Bacterial small subunit ribosomal RNA
Source: RNAcentral